UACGUAGGUGGCGAGCGUUAUCCGGAAUUAUUGGGCGUAAAGAGCGCGCAGGUGGUUGAUUAAGUCUGAUGUGAAAGCCCACGGCUUAACCGUGGAGGGUCAUUGGAAACUGGUCGACUUGAGUGCAGAAGAGGGAAGUGGAAUUCCAUGUGUAGCGGUGAAAUGCGUAGAGAUAUGGAGGAACACCAGUGGAGAAGGCGGCUUCCUGGUCUGUAACUGACACUGAGGCGCGAAAGCGUGGGGAGCAAACAGGAUUAGAUACCCCU
RNAcentral lists this ribosomal RNA (266 nucleotides) under uncultured prokaryote. RNAcentral describes it as "partial 16S ribosomal RNA". It matches the Rfam family "Bacterial small subunit ribosomal RNA", at positions 524 to 788 of the family's 1533-position model. The record is from RNAcentral.